UACGGAGGAUGCAAGCGUUAUCCGGAAUGAUUGGGCGUAAAGCGUCCGCAGGUGGCUAUGUAAGUCUGCUGUUAAAGAGUGAGGCUCGACCUCAUAAGAGCAGUGGAAACUACAUGGCUAGAGUGCGUUCGGGGCAGAGGGAAUUCCUGGUGUAGCGGUGAAAUGCGUAGAUAUCAGGAAGAACACCGGUGGCGAAAGCGCUCUGCUAGGCCGCAACUGACACUGAGGGACGAAAGCUAGGGGAGCGAAUGGG
This 253-nucleotide ribosomal RNA is filed under the name uncultured bacterium. Its description in RNAcentral is "partial 16S ribosomal RNA". It matches the Rfam family "Bacterial small subunit ribosomal RNA", at positions 524 to 776 of the family's 1533-position model. The record is from RNAcentral.